GUACCCCAAGUUGGCUUAGCUUAGGGGUGUUGAGUGAAAGAAACAAAUUGUAUUAAUAGUUGAUUGUAUUUGGAAGUCGAAAAGAAUGUAAAAAUUAAUGGAAAUGUGAUGUAAAUGAGUGAAUACUUGUAAUAGCUUAGCAGUUAUGUUUUGGAUGCCUUCCUUAUGCAAUCGUGUAUGAAAUCUAUUCCUAUUUGGAACCCCGUGAUUUGUACUGUUGCGGCGCCUUUGACGUACAGAGGAAACUCUGUCCGUUCGGCGGUCUGUCGGCGCGCCCGAAUCCAACCAAAGGUGUGACAUGGGCAACCG
This 309-nucleotide long non-coding RNA is filed under the name Ananas comosus (pineapple). Its description in RNAcentral is "long non-coding RNA (ACOM_LNC001833)". Lineage: Eukaryota; Viridiplantae; Streptophyta; Magnoliopsida; Poales; Bromeliaceae. The record is from RNAcentral.